This 478-nucleotide ribosomal RNA is filed under the name uncultured bacterium. Its description in RNAcentral is "partial 16S ribosomal RNA". It matches the Rfam family "Bacterial small subunit ribosomal RNA", at positions 28 to 523 of the family's 1533-position model. The record is from RNAcentral.
GACGAACGCUGGCGGCGUGCUUAACACAUGCAAGUCGAACGGUAAGGCCCUUCGGGGUACACGAGUGGCGAACGGGUGAGUAACACGUGGGUGAUCUGCCCUGCACUUCGGGAUAAGCCUGGGAAACUGGGUCUAAUACCGGAUAGGACCCUGGGAUGCAUGUCCUGGGGUGGAAAGCUUUUGCGGUGUGGGAUGGGCCCGCGGCCUAUCAGCUUGUUGGUGGGGUGAUGGCCUACCAAGGCGACGACGGGUAGCCGGCCUGAGAGGGUGACCGGCCACACUGGGACUGAGAUACGGCCCAGACUCCUACGGGAGGCAGCAGUGGAGAAUAUUGCACAAUGGGCGCAAGCCUGAUGCAGCGACGCCGCGUGAGGGAUGACGGCCUUCGGGUUGUAAACCUCUUUCAGCACCGACGAAGCGAGAGUGACGGUAGGUGCAGAAGAAGGACCGGCCAACUACGUGCCAGCAGCCGCAGUAA